RNAcentral lists this long non-coding RNA (462 nucleotides) under Olea europaea subsp. europaea. The record is from RNAcentral. Lineage: Eukaryota; Viridiplantae; Streptophyta; Magnoliopsida; Lamiales; Oleaceae.
CAGUCAAAAGAGAAAUGUAAAGUACACUCCACACAUUUUACAGACCCAAAACUAUACAAAGAGAACAAAAACAUACAACGCCCUUCAAUUUAAAUCCUCUCAAAUCGUUAAGAUAAACAAUAAUAUCCACGAAAAAAUAUAAAGGGAAUUCUUGCUAGGACCCUGCAUAUACAUUUUGAAAACUGGCAAAACCUAUUUACAGCAUGCAUUUCAAAGGCAGACCUGUGUAGUCUUACUUCCAACGAACUUCCCAGUGUAGUUCUGGAACUAUAAAGGUCGUGUCCAGAACAUCAUUGCCACUCAUACGUGAAUUGUUGAGGAGAACUUGCAUUGAGGAAACUCAUAUCCUUGAGCCAUCUCCCAAAACAUAUUUUGUAGCUCCUCAACACUGCAUGUCUUACCCUGCAUACGGAAACAUGGGGUUAGUAAAAGCUCCAAAAAGGAGAUUCCAGGACACAAGAA